UGGAAUGCAUUGAAUGAGAGUUAGGAAAAUUGACAAGCUUUUAAUAAACUUGGGCCCAAUAGGAUUUCUUCGAUUUUCACUUCUAUAAACAAUUAAAUAUUAAAAACUUUGUCCUCACCCAAAUAUAGUUAUACAUAUAAUUCUAAUAAAUAAACUCUGCAACAAUUCUAAUAUGUAAGUUUCGGCCAGUAUAUUGAGUUUAUGAGCAAGAGGAAUAUCUUGAAACUAU
Molecule: long non-coding RNA, 229 nt
Filed under: Carica papaya (papaya)
Lineage: Eukaryota; Viridiplantae; Streptophyta; Magnoliopsida; Brassicales; Caricaceae
Description: long non-coding RNA (CPAP_LNC013433)
Source: RNAcentral